This 255-nucleotide ribosomal RNA is filed under the name Salmonella enterica subsp. enterica serovar Cerro. Its description in RNAcentral is "partial 23S ribosomal RNA". It matches the Rfam family "Bacterial large subunit ribosomal RNA", at positions 539 to 796 of the family's 2925-position model. Lineage: Bacteria; Pseudomonadati; Pseudomonadota; Gammaproteobacteria; Enterobacterales; Enterobacteriaceae. The record is from RNAcentral.
UGAAAAAGAACCUGAAACCGUGUACGUACAAGCAGUGGGAGCACCCUUUUGGGUGUGACUGCGUACCUUUUGUAUAAUGGGUCAGCGACUUAUAUUCUGUAGCAAGGUUAACCGAAUAGGGGAGCCGUAGGGAAACCGAGUCUUAAUUGGGCGUUAAGUUGCAGGGUAUAGACCCGAAACCCGGUGAUCUAGCCAUGGGCAGGUUGAAGGUUGGGUAACACUAACUGGAGGACCGAACCGACUAAUGUUGAAAAA